Oryza sativa Indica Group (long-grained rice) is the source of this 198-nucleotide microRNA precursor. It matches the Rfam family "MIR812 microRNA precursor family". The record is from Rfam. Lineage: Eukaryota; Viridiplantae; Streptophyta; Magnoliopsida; Poales; Poaceae.
AAAAAGGUAAACUAUGGGUUUACGUGCCCAACUUUGUCUUAUAUGAAAAUUUUUUUAUAAUUCGUAUUUUCAUUGUUGUUAGAUGAUAAAACAUGAUUAAUAUUUUAUGCGUGACUUGUCUUUUUAAUUUUUUUCAUAAUUUUUUCAAAUAAGACGAACGGUCAAACUUUGGUCACGAAAACCAGGGUUUGUCUUUUU